Molecule: ribosomal RNA, 260 nt
Filed under: uncultured bacterium
Lineage: Bacteria
Description: partial 16S ribosomal RNA
Rfam family: Bacterial small subunit ribosomal RNA
Source: RNAcentral
UACGAAGGGGGCUAGCGUUGCUCGGGAAUCACUGGGCGUAAAGGGCGCGUAGGCGGCGUUUUAAGUCGGGGGUGAAAGCCUGUGGCUCAACCACAGAAUGGCCUUCGAUACUGGGACGCUUGAGUAUGGUAGAGGUUGGUAGGAACUGCGAGUGUAGAGGUGAAAAUUCGUCAGAUAUUCGGCAAGAACACCGUGGCGAAGGCGGCCAACUGGACCAUUACUGGACGCUGAGGCGGCGAAAAGCGUGGGGAGCAAACAGG